UAUUCUAUUGUACUAGGAAAAUGCGUUUCAACUUUUUUCUUUCUUUUCACAAAAAGAAACUUAUUUAUUUUCUGUAAAAGAAAAUCUGCUGAAAUUUACUAAAGACAGAGAGAAGAAGAGUUCAAAGCAAGUUUUGUGCCAGCACUUGCGGUCAUACAUUCUGAAUUGAAACGUAAUCAAUUCAAACUUAUUUACAAGUGUAUAUUUGGAUAUAAAUUGAUUUUUUGGUCUUAUAAUAUAAUUCUUCUUUUUAAGAAUUAAAUAAUAUGUAAAUAAGAUAAAAAACCUUUAAAAACCAGGAUUAGAUACCCUGUUAUUAGUUCUCACUAAUUUUUGAAUAGAUUAUAAAUAAAACAUUGUACAUGGCAGUUCCUUACCUGAUUAGAGAAGCAUGUUAAUUAAAAAUGAAACUGCGCACUUAAUAAAUCUUUUUCUAGAAUAAUCAUUCUGUACACCGCUAUCUGAAGGAAGUUUUUUAAAAACCAACCUAUCUCUUGGAAGAAAUAAGUUAAGUUAAGGUGCAGACAAUGAAGAUGUAUUAAUGUGCCUCAAUAUAAAAUCUAUGAAUAAUAUUUUAACAAAAUAUUUAAAAAAGAAUUUAAUAGUAAAUAAAUUUUAUAACACUUUAUUGAAUUAGCCAUAAGGGGGGUACAAAUUGCCCGUCACUCCAAAAGUGGAGAAGUCGUAACACAGUUGGCCUACCGGAAGGUGGGCCAAGAUAAGA
Molecule: non-coding RNA, 724 nt
Filed under: Megaginus tataupensis
Lineage: Eukaryota; Metazoa; Arthropoda; Insecta; Psocodea; Heptapsogasteridae
Source: RNAcentral